Molecule: long non-coding RNA, 367 nt
Organism: Salarias fasciatus (jewelled blenny)
Lineage: Eukaryota; Metazoa; Chordata; Actinopteri; Blenniiformes; Blenniidae
Exons: 4
Source: RefSeq, a predicted model, not a curated record
AGCCAAACUCCAGACCACAGCAGCAACCAGCUGGAAGAUCAGUGCAACACAUAUGCUUCUCUGAUCCCAGGUGAAUCUGAUAAUGCGACAUAUUCUUCAUUAGAGGUCAAGAAUGGUGAAUAUUUGUUGAAUGAAAAUCCCUAUGAGACAAUCCCAGAGGCUGAUUCCACUGACAGAGGUGAAUCUGAUAAUGUGACAUAUUCUUCAAUAGAGCUUCAAAAAGUCAAGAAUGUGAAGAAGAACAAACCAGAAGAGAGCAACAUUUAUUGAUGUGAAGACCACAUCUUCUGAAGAUUUCAUGUAGAAGAAAGCAAAGAUCUCUCUCUCUCUCUCUCUCUCUCUCUCUCUCUCUCUCUCUCUCUCUCUC